RNAcentral lists this ribosomal RNA (583 nucleotides) under Hanseniaspora uvarum. RNAcentral's name for it is "eukaryotic LSU rRNA". It matches the Rfam family "Eukaryotic large subunit ribosomal RNA", at positions 67 to 668 of the family's 3401-position model. Lineage: Eukaryota; Fungi; Ascomycota; Saccharomycetes; Saccharomycodales; Saccharomycodaceae. The record is from RNAcentral.
ACGUGGGAAACUUAGUACGGCGAGUGAGCGGUAAAAGCUCAAAUUUGAAAUCUGGUACUUUCAGUGCCCGAGUUGUAAUUUGUAGAAUUUGUCUUUGAUUAGGUCCUUGUCUAUGUUCCUUGGAACAGGACGUCAUAGAGGGUGAGAAUCCCGUUUGGCGAGGAUACCUUUUCUCUGUAAGACUUUUUCGAAGAGUCGAGUUGUUUGGGAAUGCAGCUCAAAGUGGGUGGUAAAUUCCAUCUAAAGCUAAAUAUUGGCGAGAGACCGAUAGCGAACAAGUACAGUGAUGGAAAGAUGAAAAGAACUUUGAAAAGAGAGUGAAAAAGUACGUGAAAUUGUUGAAAGGGAAGGGCAUUUGAUCAGACAUGGUGUUUUUUGCAUGCACUCGCCUCUCGUGGGCUUGGGCCUCUCAAAAAUUUCACUGGGCCAACAUCAAUUCUGGCAGCAGGAUAAAUCAUUAAGAAUGUAGCUACUUCGGUAGUGUUAUAGCUUUUUGGAAUACUGUUAGCCGGGAUUGAGGACUGCGCUUCGGCAAGGAUGUUGGCAUAAUGGUUAAAUGCCGCCCGUCUUGAACCACGGACCA